Molecule: transfer RNA, 83 nt
Filed under: Ilyonectria destructans
Lineage: Eukaryota; Fungi; Ascomycota; Sordariomycetes; Hypocreales; Nectriaceae
Also listed under: 2 other names
Description: tRNA-Lys
Rfam family: tRNA
About the family: Transfer RNA (tRNA) molecules are approximately 80 nucleotides in length. Their secondary structure includes four short double-helical elements and three loops (D, anti-codon, and T loops).
Source: RNAcentral
GCCCGGUUAGCUCAAUCGGUAGAGCGUGAGACUCUUACGAGAACGCGAUCUCAAGGUUGCGGGUUCGACCCCCGCAUCGGGCU